This 1402-nucleotide long non-coding RNA is filed under the name Castor canadensis (American beaver). RNAcentral describes it as "lncRNA (ENSCCNG00000015413.1)". The record is from RNAcentral. Lineage: Eukaryota; Metazoa; Chordata; Mammalia; Rodentia; Castoridae.
CAGGGGAGUCGUGCGCGGCGGAAGGGGACACGGAGCGGACUCGCGUGCGUAGCGGAGCCGCUCUUGCAGGCAGCGCCGUCGCUCGGUCCACGGUUGGGGGACCCACGAGGUGCCGGGUCCUGUCCCCGGAACAAUGGGACUCGGCGCGCGAGGUGCUCUGGCCGCGCUGCUCCUGGGCGCGCUGCUGCUGGGCGUGCUGCUCCUGGGCGCGCUGCAGGUGCUGGCGCUGCCAGAGGCCGCCGUGGGCGAACUGGCGACGGAGGAUCAGAAUCCAUAUUCUAAACCGUUCCACCACCAGGCUGCAUCAGGUGAUGUUAGCUCUUAAAGUAGGUAAUGCUUUUAUUCCGCAAUUUCCCAGAAUAUUGUAGGAGAAGAUAAAAAUGUCAUGAAGUUCUGGUUUUAAAAUACCUUUCAGUCUGCUGCGUAGUUUUAUAAAUAUUCUCAGUUGGAGGAAGGGGAUACCAUGAACAAGUUAGAAAGUCAAAACAGUGAAGGACAUAAGCAGAAUGGGAUGGGAGGUUGUUAGUCACUUUCUUGGUGGCAAGUGACAGAACUCACUUCUAAUAACCUUAGGGAGAGAAGGGACUUUAUGAACUCAUAGCAGAAAAGUUCCAAGAGGCUUGGAGAUGGCAGUAUCCAAUGGUUCAGAUUGGUUGGCAAGAAAUCAUCUCACAAGAAUGACAACAAGGAAACAUGCAGCAGUCUAGGCAAAAGAUGGUAGUCAUGGGGCUGGACGUGGUGGUCAUGCCUGUAAUCCUAGCUAUGCUGGAGUCACAGGUAGAAGAAUCUUGGUCAGAGGCUGGCCAAAAGCAAAAAUGCAAGACCCUUCCUGAAAAACGACUGAAGUGAAAAAAGGACUGGGGGCAUGACUCAAGUGGUAGAGUACUUGCCUAGCAAGCGUAAGGACCUGAGUUUAAACCCCAUACCACGACGACAACAACAAAGAAGAUGAUAGUGGUAAGAGGUUGGACAGAGGGCCAAGGAAGAAGGAGGCAUCCAAGGGUGGUGUCUUGGUUUAGGGGUAAGCAACUGGUAACACAACAGCUGCGAAUAGAGAAACAAGUUUAUGGUAGAUCAUGCACAAGCUGUGGAAGUAAUCAGCCAGGUCAGCUUAACUAGCUGGGUGGCCUUCUCUGGGCCUCCAGUACUGCCACUACAAAACAGCAGUCCUGUCUCAGAAUUUUGGGAGUUAUGUGAAGGUAACAUGCUCCCCAUAAGGCCUGGUGGGUAGUAAGCAAUUAUGUCAUACCUGCUGCUGAGUCUUUAUAGUCUACUGAUCUUGACCUCUUCCUAGUUUAAUUUUACACUGUAUCCUUUUGUGAUAAAUGGAUUACAGUCUCAUCAAGAGGAAGAUAUUUACACAAGCAAUAAAAACUUCAAAGUUGUUAUUGCUUGUUUGGGG